GCUGGGUUAGCUCAGUUGGUUAGAGCAUGGUGCUAAUAACACCGAGUUCACAGGUUCAAUCCCUGCUCACUGCA
This 74-nucleotide transfer RNA is filed under the name Pelecanus crispus (Dalmatian pelican). It matches the Rfam family "tRNA". From Rfam's summary of the family: Transfer RNA (tRNA) molecules are approximately 80 nucleotides in length. Their secondary structure includes four short double-helical elements and three loops (D, anti-codon, and T loops). Further hydrogen bonds mediate the characteristic L-shaped molecular structure. tRNAs have two regions of fundamental functional importance: the anti-codon, which is responsible for specific mRNA codon recognition, and the 3' end, to which the tRNAs corresponding amino acid is attached (by aminoacyl-tRNA synthetases). tRNAs cope with the degeneracy of the genetic code in two manners: having more than one tRNA (with a specific anti-codon) for a particular amino acid; and 'wobble' base-pairing, i.e. permitting non-standard base-pairing at the 3rd anti-codon position. Lineage: Eukaryota; Metazoa; Chordata; Aves; Pelecaniformes; Pelecanidae. The record is from Rfam by way of RNAcentral.